UACGUAGGGUGCAAGCGUUAAUCGGAAUUACUGGGCGUAAAGCGUGCGCAGGCGGCUUUGCAAGACAGAUGUGAAAUCCCCGGGCUUAACCUGGGAAUGGCGUUUGAAACUACGGAGCUGGAGUAUGGCAGAGGGGGGUGGAAUUCCACGUGUAGCGGUGAAAUGCGUAGAUAUGUGGAGGAACACCGAUGGCGAAGGCAGCCCCCUGGGCCAAUACUGACGCUCAUGCACGAAAGCGUGGGGAGCAAACAGG
RNAcentral lists this ribosomal RNA (253 nucleotides) under uncultured bacterium. RNAcentral's name for it is "partial 16S ribosomal RNA". It matches the Rfam family "Bacterial small subunit ribosomal RNA", at positions 524 to 776 of the family's 1533-position model. The record is from RNAcentral.